RNAcentral lists this ribosomal RNA (490 nucleotides) under uncultured bacterium. Its description in RNAcentral is "bacterial SSU rRNA". It matches the Rfam family "Bacterial small subunit ribosomal RNA", at positions 29 to 494 of the family's 1533-position model. The record is from RNAcentral.
AACUAACGCUGGCGGCGUGCCUAACACAUGCAAGUCGAACGAGAAAGUUGGCUUCGGCCGAUGAGUAAAGUGGCGCACGGGUGAGUAACGCGUGGAUAAUCUGCCCUUUAGUUUGGAAUAACGUACCGAAAGGUGCGCUAAUACCGGAUAAUACUGAAUGACUACUGUCGUUUAGUCAAAGAAGGCUUCUGUUUACAUGCUUUUGCUGAAGGAUGAGUCCGCGUACCAUUAGCUAGUUGGUAGGGUAAUGGGCCUACCAAGGCGACGAUGGUUAGCUGGUCUGAGAGGAUGAUCAGCCACACUGGAACUGAGACACGGUCCAGACUCCUACGGGAGGCAGCAGUGAGGAAUAUUGCGCAAUGGGGCAACCCUGACGCAGCAACGCCGCGUGAGUGAGGAAGGUUUUCGGACCGUAAAGCUCUGUCGAGCGGGAAGAAAUGCAUGGUGGCUAAUAUCCAUCAUGCUUGACGGUACCGCUAAAGGAAGCACC